Small nuclear RNA from Protopterus annectens (West African lungfish), 168 nucleotides. RefSeq annotates it as U1 spliceosomal RNA. NCBI's taxonomy places the organism in Eukaryota, Metazoa, Chordata, Ceratodontiformes, Protopteridae. The transcript has a single exon. The record is from RefSeq and is a predicted model, not a curated record.
CUUCUUACCUGACAGGGGAAUACCACAAACAAGAAGGUGGUUUCCCAAGGGUGAGGCUCUUCCAUUGCAUAUUUUGGUUGGGUUGACCCCUGUGUGUUCCCCAAAUGUGGGAAACUCAACAGCAUAAUUUAUGGUUGGAUAACACAGUGGUGCAGCAGUAGCAUUGUU